This 1185-nucleotide long non-coding RNA is filed under the name Meleagris gallopavo (turkey). Its description in RNAcentral is "lncRNA (ENSMGAG00000020639.1)". Lineage: Eukaryota; Metazoa; Chordata; Aves; Galliformes; Phasianidae. The record is from RNAcentral.
AUGAGCUUCCCCUGCAGUCAGUGCGGGUUUCCAAACCAGGAGACACUGAACAAGAUGCAGCGCUCCAGCAGUGCCCUGCAAGGCAGAGCAGAGGGGAGCAGCACCUCCCUGCCCCACUGGCUGCACUCUGGCAAUGCACCACAGGGUUCCCUUGGCCCUCUUGGCCACCAAGGCUCACUGCUGGCUCGUGGUCAACCACUGCUCAACUGGUGGUCAUUUGUUGGACCUACUGGUCACCAGGGCUCAUUGCUGGCUGACUUGGCCACCAGGACAUACUGCUGCCUCGUGGUCAAUCAUGGAUCUUCUUGGCCACCAGGACAUACUGCUGCCUCGUGCUCAAUCAUGGAUCUUCUUGGCCACCAGGACAUACUGCUGCCUCGUGCUCAAUCAUGGAUCUUCUAUGGCCACCAGGACAUACUGCUGCCUCAUGCUCAAUCAUGGAUCUUCUAUGGCCACCAGGACAUACUGCUGCCUCGUGCUCAAUCAUGGAUCUUCUAUGGCCACCAGGACAUACUGCUGCCUCGUGGUCAAUCAUGGAUCUUCUAUGGCCACCAGGACAUACUGCUGCCUCGUGCUCAAUCCUGGAUCUUCUAUGGCCACCAGGACAUACUGCUGCCUCGUGCUCAAUCAUGGAUCUUCUUGGCCACCAGGACAUACUGCUGCCUCGUGGUCAAUCCUGGAUCUUCUUGGUCACCAGAAUAUGCUUCCAGCUUGUUGCCAACCCCUGGUCACCUGUUAGCCACCAGGAUCAACAGGUCCUGGUCUGCACAGCUUCUUACCACUCACGGUCAGUCAUUGGUCAACUGUUGGUCAACCACUGGCCCUCUUGGCUACCAGGGCUCACCGUUGGCUCGUGGUCAACCAUUGGCCAACUGUUGGUCAACCACUGGCUGUCUUAACCACCAGGACAUACUGCUGACUUGUGGUCAACCAAUAGGUCAACCACUGGCCCUCUUGGCCACCAGGGCUCACCGCUGGCUCAUGGUGGACCACUGCUCAACUGCUGGUCAUCUGUUGGCCCUGCUGGUCACCAGGGCUCACCGCUGGCUGUCUUGGCCAGCAGAACAUACUGCUGACUCGUGGUCAAUCAUGGGCCUUCUUGGCCACCGGGACAACCAGGUCCUGGUCUGCAGAGCUUCUUUCCAGUCACGGUCAGUCAUUGGUCAACUGUUGGUCAACCAUUGA